Molecule: long non-coding RNA, 228 nt
Filed under: Elaeis guineensis (African oil palm)
Lineage: Eukaryota; Viridiplantae; Streptophyta; Magnoliopsida; Arecales; Arecaceae
Description: long non-coding RNA (EGUI_LNC054635)
Source: RNAcentral
UUCAUCAUCUAGUAAAAGAUAUAGAGUAUUUAAUAAAAAAAUAUUUGUUGUAGAAGAAUCCAUUGAUAUUGUUUUUGAUGAAACUAAUAUUUUUAAAUCAAGAGAAGUAGAUGUAGAUGAUGAUGUAGUUUCUCUUGAAAAGGAGAUGAAAGACACGACUUUGAAAAAUUCUCCUUCACAAGAAGAAGAAGAAGAUAAAGAAAAAAGAUAAAGACGAUGGUACUAAAG